UCGAGACCGAAAUUAUAUCGAGCGAUUCGGAGAACCCGUGAAAUAAGCGGCGGCCGCAGUCGCCGCGAAACGGCCGUCCCCGCCGUCGGCCCCCCUGUCUGGAGGGGGCCGCGAUGGGGGACGGCUUAUACACCGAACCGGCGCAGACUGGCGCCAAGGGAGCUAUCUAAGAACACGAGCCCGGCAUCGGGUCUUCGUGGGGUGGAGCGGUGCUGCGCACCGCACGUACUGACACGACUCUCGACAAUGGAUAUCUCGGCUCUCGCAUCGAUGAAGAGCGCAGCGAAAUGCGAUACGUGGUGCGAAUUGCAGAAUCCCGCGAACCAUCGAGUCUUUGAACGCAAGUUGCGCCCGAGGCCAAUCGGUCGAGGGCACGUCCGCCUGGGCGUCAAGCGUUGCGCCGCUCCGUGCCGAGUCCCCACCAUCCCGCCGAGGCGGGGGUGCCGGGCGAGGCUCGGAUGUGCAGAGUGGCCCGUCGUGCCCGUCGGCGCGGCGGGCUGAAGAGCGGGUUAUCGUCUCAUUGGGGCCACGAACAACGAGGGGUGGAUGCAAGCUGCCGCGGGCGAGGCCCGCGUUGUCUCGUGCCGGCCCGAGAGAAGAUCACACCCUUCGUGCGAUCCCAUCCCACGCGCCGCCACCCGUGCGGCGGCUUGGAAU
Molecule: ribosomal RNA, 657 nt
Filed under: Aerides falcata
Lineage: Eukaryota; Viridiplantae; Streptophyta; Magnoliopsida; Asparagales; Orchidaceae
Description: eukaryotic LSU rRNA
Rfam family: 5.8S ribosomal RNA (bases 236-391)
Source: RNAcentral